RNAcentral lists this ribosomal RNA (425 nucleotides) under uncultured bacterium. RNAcentral describes it as "partial 16S ribosomal RNA". It matches the Rfam family "Bacterial small subunit ribosomal RNA", at positions 354 to 796 of the family's 1533-position model. The record is from RNAcentral.
GUGGGGAAUAUUGGGCAAUGGGCGAAAGCCUGACCCAGCAACGCCGCGUGAAGGAAGAAGGUCUUCGGAUCGUAAACUUCUAUCCUUGGUGAAGAUAAUGACGGUAGCCGAGAAGGAAGCCCCGGCUAACUACGUGCCAGCAGCCGCGGUAAUACGUAGGGGGCAAGCGUUGUCCGGAAUGAUUGGGCGUAAAGGGCGCGUAGGUGGCCUGGUAAGUCUGGAGUGAAAGUCCUGCUUUUAAGGUGGGAAUUGCUUUGGAUACUGUCGGGCUUGAGUGCAGGAGAGGUAAGUGGAAUUCCCGGUGUAGCGGUGAAAUGCGUAGAGAUCGGGAGGAACACCAGUGGCGAAGGCGACUUACUGGACUGUAACUGACGCUGAGGCGCGAAAGCGUGGGGAGCAAACAGGAUUAGAUACCCUGGUAGUCC